CCGUACCGCAAACCGACACAGGUAGUCAAGAUGAGAAUUCUAAGGUGAGCGAGCGAACUCUCGUUAAGGAACUCGGCAAAAUGACCCCGUAACUUCGGGAGAAGGGGUGCUCUUUAGGGUUAACGCCCAGAAGAGCCGCAGUGAAUAGGCCCAAGCGACUGUUUAUCAAAAACACAGGUCUCUGCUAAACCGUAAGGUGAUGUAUAGGGGCUGACGCCUGCCCGGUGCUGGAAGGUUAAGAGGAGUGGUUAGCUUCUGCGAAGCUACGAAUCGAAGCCCCAGUAAACGGCGGCCGUAACUAUAACGGUCCUAAGGUAGCGAAAUUCCUUGUCGGGUAAGUUCCGACCCGCACGAAAGGCGUAACGAUUUGGGCACUGUCUCAACGAGAGACUCGGUGAAAUCAUAGUACCUGUGAAGAUGCAGGUUACCCGCGACAGGACGGAAAGACCCCGUGGAGCUUUACUGUAGCCUGAUAUUGAAAUUCGGCACAGCUUGUACAGGAUAGGUAGGAGCCUUUGAAACGUGA
RNAcentral lists this ribosomal RNA (526 nucleotides) under Staphylococcus aureus. RNAcentral describes it as "partial 23S ribosomal RNA". It matches the Rfam family "Bacterial large subunit ribosomal RNA", at positions 1642 to 2167 of the family's 2925-position model. Lineage: Bacteria; Bacillati; Bacillota; Bacilli; Caryophanales; Staphylococcaceae. The record is from RNAcentral.